UGCGUAGGUGGCGUGGUAAGUUUGAUGUGAAAGCUCAGGGCUUAACCCUGAAAUGGCAUUGAAUACUACCGUGCUGGAGGUUUGGAGGGGGGACUGGAAUUCUCGGUGUAGCAGUGAAAUGCGUAGAUAUCGAGAGGAACACCAGUGGCGAAGGCGAGUCCCUGGACAACACCUGACACUGAGGCACGAAAGCCGGGGGAGCAAACA
Molecule: ribosomal RNA, 207 nt
Filed under: uncultured bacterium
Lineage: Bacteria
Description: partial 16S ribosomal RNA
Rfam family: Bacterial small subunit ribosomal RNA
Source: RNAcentral